This is a long non-coding RNA of Pungitius pungitius (ninespine stickleback), 465 nucleotides long. RefSeq lists it as uncharacterized. The transcript is spliced from 3 exons. The record is from RefSeq and is a predicted model, not a curated record. Lineage: Eukaryota; Metazoa; Chordata; Actinopteri; Perciformes; Gasterosteidae.
AAAGGGUCGGUCAUUGGAUCCUCCCGUCAUUCUUCCAGUAAAAAGGCAGUGACACUAUUAAUGCGAAAACAUUUCCAGACAGCACAGAGGAGAAGGGAGGCUCAUCCACUGGGCACAUCUUUCCCAGUCAUGAUGCUUACUGGUUUCUUCUGUCUACUCCUCAUCACAGGUGGAAGUACUUUCAAUUAUUCGGAACAACCAGAGGUUCAAGCGGUCUCCAAUCAGGACAACGAGGAAGACGUUGUGGACUCUGAGGGUACCUGCAGUUAUCAGGAUGUUUUAAACCACCUGAACCUGACCAAAAGCACCGAGCUGUACUCGAUGACCCGACCUGUUAAACAUCACAAAUCCACUACUCGAGUACACCUUCAAAUGGCGAUCUAUGGCAUCCUCGAUGUGGUAAGUUUUAAAUAAAGCUUUAAAUUGUCUCUAUUCUCCUUUGGAUUUUAAGAAAUAUUUCCUUUU